UACGUAGGGUGCAAGCGUUAAUCGGAAUUACUGGGCGUAAAGCGUGCGCAGGCGGUUUUGUAAGACAGGGGUGAAAUCCCCGGGCUCAACCUGGGAACUGCCAUUGUUACUGCAAGUCUAGAGUGCGGCAGAGGGGGGUGGAAUUCCGCGUGUAGCAGUGAAAUGCGUAGAUAUGCGGAGGAACACCGAUGGCGAAGGCAAUCCCCUGGGCCUGUACUGACGCUCAUGCACGAAAGCGUGGGGAGCAAACAGG
RNAcentral lists this ribosomal RNA (253 nucleotides) under uncultured bacterium. RNAcentral describes it as "partial 16S ribosomal RNA". It matches the Rfam family "Bacterial small subunit ribosomal RNA", at positions 524 to 776 of the family's 1533-position model. The record is from RNAcentral.